GACGAACGCUGGCGGCGUGCUUAACACAUGCAAGUCGAACGGAAAGGCCCUGCUUUUGUGGGGUGCUCGAGUGGCGAACGGGUGAGUAACACGUGAGUAACCUGCCCUUGACUUUGGGAUAACUUCAGGAAACUGGGGCUAAUACCGGAUAGGAGCUCCUGCUGCAUGGUGGGGGUUGGAAAGUUUCGGCGGUUGGGGAUGGACUCGCGGCUUAUCAUCUUGUUGGUGGGGUAGUGGCUUACCAAGGCUUUGACGGGUAGCCGGCCUGAGAGGGUGACCGGCCACAUUGGGACUGAGAUACAGCCCAUACUCCUACGGGAGGCAGCAGUGGGGAAUAUUGCACAAUGGGCGGAAGCCUGAUGCAGCAACGCCGCCUGCAGGAUGACGGCCUUCGGGUUGUAAACCGCUUUCGCCUGUGACGAAGCGUGAGUGACGGUAAUGGGUAAAGAAGCACCGGCUAACUACGUGUCAGCAGCCGCGGUGAUACUUAGGGUGCGAGCGUUGUCCGGAUUUUAUUGGGGCGUAAAGGGCUCGUAGGGGUUGAAUCGCCUCGGAAGGGUAUUCUAGGGGGUUAACCCUGAAGCGUGCUUUUCGAUACGGGGUGACUUGAGGAAGGUAGGGGGAAAUGGAAUUUCCUGGUGGAGCGGUGGAAAUGCGCCAGAUAUCAGGAGGAACACCAGUGGGGAAGGCGGUUCUUUGGGCCUUUCCUGAUGCUGAGGAGCGAAAAGCGUGGGGAGCGAACAGGUUUAGAUACCCUGGUAGUCCACGCUGUAAACGGUGGGUACUAGGUGUGGGGUCCAUUCCACGGGUUCCGUGCCGUAGCUAACGCUUUAAGUACCCCGCCUGGGGAGUACGGCCGCAAGGCUAAAACUCAAAGGAAUUGACGGGGCCCCGCACAAGCGGCGGAGCAUGCGGAUUAAUUUGAUGCAACGCGUAGAACCUUACCUGGGUUUGACAUGGAUCGGGAGUGCUCAGAGAUGGGUGUGCCUCUUUUGGGGUCGGUUCACAGGUGGUGCAUGGCUGUCGUCAGCUCGUGUCGUGAGAUGUUGGGUUAAGUCCCGCAACGAGCGCAACCCUUGUUCACUGUUGCCAGCACGUUAUGGUGGGGACUCAGUGGAGACCGCCGGGGUCAACUCGGAGGAAGGUGGGGAUGACGUCAAGUCAUCAUGCCCCUUAUGUCCAGGGCUUCACGCAUGCUACAAUGGCUGGUACAGAGAGUGGCGAGCCUGUGAGGGUGAGCGAAUCUCGGAAAGCCGGUCUCAGUUCGGAUUGGGGUCUGCAACUCGACCUCAUGAAGUCGGAGUCGCUAGUAAUCGCAGAUCAGCAACGCUGCGGUGAAUACGUUCCCGGGGCU
This 1354-nucleotide ribosomal RNA is filed under the name uncultured bacterium. Its description in RNAcentral is "bacterial SSU rRNA". It matches the Rfam family "Bacterial small subunit ribosomal RNA", at positions 28 to 1381 of the family's 1533-position model. The record is from RNAcentral.